UGGUGGGUAGUUUGACUGGGGCGGUCUCCUCCUAAAGAGUAACGGAGGAGCACGAAGGUUGGCUAAUCCUGGUCGGACAUCAGGAGGUUAGUGCAAUGGCAUAAGCCAGCUUGACUGCGAGCGUGACGGCGCGAGCAGGUGCGAAAGCAGGUCAUAGUGAUCCGGUGGUUCUGAAUGGAAGGGCCAUCGCUCAACGGAUAAAAGGUACUCCGGGGAUAACAGGCUGAUACCGCCCAAGAGUUCAUAUCGACGGCGGUGUUUGGCACCUCGAUGUCGGCUCAUCACAUCCUGGGGCUGAAGUAGGUCCCAAGGGUAUGGCUGUUCGCCAUUUAAAGUGGUACGCGAGCUGGGUUUAGAACGUCGUGAGACAGUUCGGUCCCUAUCUGCCGUGGGCGCUGGAGAACUGAGGGGGGCUGCUCCUAGUACGAGAGGACCGGAGUGGACGCAUCACUGGUGUUCGGGUUGUCAUGCCAAUGGCACUGCCCGGUAGCUAAAUGCGGAAGAGAUAAGUGCUGAAAGCAUCUAAGCACGAAACUUGCCCCGAGAUGAGUUCUCCCUGAGACUUAAAGUCUCCUGAAGGAACGUUGAAGACGACGACGUUGAUAGGCCGGGUGU
This 615-nucleotide ribosomal RNA is filed under the name Salmonella enterica subsp. enterica serovar Infantis. RNAcentral describes it as "partial 23S ribosomal RNA". It matches the Rfam family "Bacterial large subunit ribosomal RNA", at positions 2259 to 2868 of the family's 2925-position model. Lineage: Bacteria; Pseudomonadati; Pseudomonadota; Gammaproteobacteria; Enterobacterales; Enterobacteriaceae. The record is from RNAcentral.